RNAcentral lists this ribosomal RNA (484 nucleotides) under uncultured bacterium. RNAcentral's name for it is "partial 16S ribosomal RNA". It matches the Rfam family "Bacterial small subunit ribosomal RNA", at positions 28 to 507 of the family's 1533-position model. The record is from RNAcentral.
AUUGAACGCUGGCGGCAUGCUUUACACAUGCAAGUCGAACGGCAGCGCGGGCUUCGGCCUGGCGGCGAGUGGCGAACGGGUGAGUAAUGCAUCGGAACGUGCCCAGUAGUGGGGGAUAGCCCGGCGAAAGCCGGAUUAAUACCGCAUACGACCUGCGGGUGAAAGCGGGGGACCGAAAGGCCUCGCGCUAUUGGAGCGGCCGAUGUCGGAUUAGCUAGUUGGUGGGGUAAAGGCUUACCAAGGCGACGAUCCGUAGCUGGUCUGAGAGGACGACCAGCCAAACUGGGACUGAGACACGGCCCAGACUCCUACGGGAGGCAGCAGUGGGGAAUUUUGGACAAUGGGGGCAACCCUGAUCCAGCCAUGCCGCGUGCGGGAAGAAGGCGUUCGGGUUGUAAACCGCUUUUGUUCGGGAAGAAAUCCUCUGGGCUAAUACCCCGGGGGGAUGACGGUACCGGAAGAAUAAGCACCGGCUAACUACGUG